This 8122-nucleotide long non-coding RNA is filed under the name Olea europaea subsp. europaea. Lineage: Eukaryota; Viridiplantae; Streptophyta; Magnoliopsida; Lamiales; Oleaceae. The record is from RNAcentral.
UCCCAACCUCGCCUUCUCUGAAACCUAACCCCGAAUCCUGCCUCCUCCCCAAUUUUACUUCUCUGAAACCCCCCCACAGCGAUGGGGAAAGACGAAGAGAACAACGGUUUGAUGAGAAAUACUAAUUGGGGAAAGAGCAUGGCUACAGAUCUAUAGCCGCAGGGAAGCUGGUUCAACUUGAUUACUAGUUCGGAAUUUUUCGCUCCGCUAAUUCGUGCUCGAUCUCUGCGCCGCACCUGGUGGCUGGAUUCAAGUAGCUUUCGAGAAGAUGCUGAUGGGCAUUCUAGUAAUUGGAGUCGACUGCAACUCGAUUCAAUCCAUCGAAGGUGCAUUCUCCGUGCGGGAGAGUACUAGGGCCCCCAAGUAUAAGGACGUUAUUAAGAAACUCAUGGCGGAAGGUGGAUGCGGAGCUUUUGACAUGGUGCUACUCGAUGGCUAUAAGGGUAUUAAUGUCGCGUGGGUUAGGGAGGCCAUCAAUCAGAAUGCUCUAGACUCUAGUUUUUGAUUCCGUUAAGCUUGCUACGGAGGCUUUGGCUGACAAGGGAAGUUUUUUUACCAAGGUAUUGUAAUAUGUAUAUGUUUAAUAAUAUAUCUUGUUCUUAUGUAACUAUGAACGAGGUUAUUUUGAAGCAAUUAAAUGUCACGGCUCGAACCUUCAACAAUGGCAGCUCUUCACUGUAACACAGAGAAUGCACUGAACUUAGCUGAAAUAGCUAAGAUUAUAUCACUAAACAAAGAUAAAAAAGAGAAGGGGAAUAAGAUAAAAGAGAACUUUAGAAGAAAGAGAGGAGAAGUGUUGAACGAUUUCAACCGCCACUGAAAAUAUCAUGUUACCAAAGCUUCCAGAACCAUUUGCCCCCUUUCUGCAUCUAUAGGCUCAGCUGGAAGUCGUAUUACCAAAAAUGAAAUAAAGAAAACGUGUUUCAACAAAACAUAUUACAAUUUCAUUUAAUUCAAAACGGCACCGUAUGACUUUGAAUUCCAGUUGCUCUUCUUGGCUUCUUCUUUCCUUCUUCUAGUUCUGCUUCUUUUCCCUCCCCAAUUACUCUUCACGUGACAACCCUUCACCUCACCUUGAUCUUGUCCCCAAGAUCCACAGUAGGGAAACUGUAGUUUGAUCCAAUCGGUGUCUUCCCAGGUUUCACAAUCUAGAGUAGAAUUUGACCAAUGAAUAAGCCACUGGAUGGUGGUGUUAUUUUUUUACGAGUAAUGGUCCUGGACUGUAAGAUGGAUAAUGGAUGAUAUGUUGGUAGUUUAGACCGAUUCUCAUCAGGCAAUUGAAGUACUGGCAUUGCCCUGUCACCUAACUUCUUCUUGAACAAUGAAACAUGAAAGACUGGAUGAAUUCUGGAGCUGGCAGGAAGUGCCAAUUUGUAUGCCACCGUGCCUAUCUUCUUGGUAAUCUGAUAUGGUCCAAAGUAUCUAGCUCCCAGCUUGUGAUUUAUCCUGUGUUCCACUGAUUAUUGUGUGUAAGGAUGAAGCUUGAGGAAGACCCACUCUCCUUCAUUAAAAGACCUCUCAGAACGCUUCGUGUCAGCAUAUAGUUUCAUCUUUGCUCCUGCUUGUGCUAAGUUUUCUUUCAGCUGUUGAUUUAGUUGGUACCUAUGCUGUAGUAAUUCUUCGACUGCAGCCACAUUGGACUGCUGGUAAAGAUCUAAUGAGAGCUGAGGAGGCUUGAUCCCAUAAAGAGCUUCAAAGGGAGUCAUUCAGAUAGAGGAAUGAUAGGAGGUAUUGUACCACCACUCAGCUAAUGAUAACCACUUACCCCAUUGUUUAGGAUGUUGAAAAGUCAUGCACUGUAGGUACAUUUCAAGGCACUGCUUGAGUCGUUCUGUCUGCCCAUCAAAUUGAGGAUGGUAGGUAGAACUUAAAUGCAGCUGGAUACCCAUGAGUUUAAACAAUUCUUGCCAGAAUUUGCUUGUAAAUAUCUUAUCCUUGUUAGAAAUGAUGUUCUGAGGUAUGCCUUGAAGUUUAAAAAUAGAAUCAAGGAAAUUUUUGGCAAUUGUCACGGCUGUGAAUGGAUGCGGAAGUGCCAAGAAAUGACCAUACUUUGUAAAUCUGUAGACCACCACUAAUAUAGUAUCUUUACCUCCUGAAUUAGGCAAUCCUUCAAUGAAGUCCAUACUAAUGUGGCUCCAAGCAUGUAGAGGCACAGGAAGAGGCUUUAACAAUCCAGGGUAAGGCACAUUCUCCCCUUUACACUUCUGGCAGAUUUCACACUGGAGACGUCAGUUUUGAUGUCUCGGUUCAUGCCAGGCCCGUAAAAAUGUUGCUUUGCUUUGUAGAUGCUGCCAUUAUGCCCUCCUUCUUGAGACCCAUGAAUAUUCUGAAUUAGUUUAGAUUUGAUAUUACCCCCUGAACCUAUGUAUAACCUGCCUUUAUACUUCAAAAUAUUGUUGAGGUAUAGGAAGUCUGGAUCUGCUGUUGAAUUUAAGAUGACUGACUGGAUUUUCUCCCUAGCAAAGUUGUCCUCCUUGUAGCUAUCAAUAACUCUUGUAUCCAAGUGGGAAUAAAAGUGGUGAUUCCCGCACACUCCACCUCUUUCUCAUGCCUCCUUGACAAUGCAUCAGCUACUAAGUUAUCAAUUCCUCGUUUAUACAAUCUUUCAUAACUGAGUCCCAACAAUUUAGUGAGCCAUUGCUGUUGAAGAGGGGUUGUAAUCCUCUGUUCUAAAAGAUAUUUGAGAGAUUGGUGGUCAGUCUUUAUGAUGAAGUGGUGGCCCUCUAAAUAAUGUCUCCAUUUACUAACAGCAGUGACUAAGGCUAGUAGUUCCUUUUCGUAUAUUGACAUACCCCUGUUCCUGAUUCCAAUAGCUUUGCUUAGGUAAGCUAGAGGCCUUCUGCCUUGCAUUAGCACAGCACCAAUUCCACUUUGGCAAGCAUCGGUUUCAAUGAUAAAGGGUUGAUGGAAAUCAGGUAAAGCAAGCACAGGCGUUGAACUCAUGGCUUGUUUUAAUCCUUCAAAGGCUAAAUCUCCAGCCUCUGUCCGUUGAAAAUUGUCUUUCUUAAUCAUAUCUGUUAAUGGCCUGGCUAUCACCCCGUAACUCUUGACAAACUUCCUGUAAUACCCAGUCAACCCUAGGAAGCCCCUCAAUUGUUUGAUAUUCCUAGGUUUAGGCCAUAGCUGCAUUGCUUCCACGUUGCUGGGAUCAGCAGAGACUCCUUCUUUGCUAAUAAUAUGACCUAGGUACUCAACCUUCAAUUGCCCAAAACUGCACUUGGACCUCUUGGCAUAUAGUUGAUGUUUCUAUAAUAUCCCUAUUACUGAUUCUAGAUGUUGGCAAUGAGAGGAUAGAUCAGUGCUGUACACUAAAAUAUCAUCAAAAAAUACUAAGACGUAUCUCCUCAGCUGGUCCUUGAAUACCUCAUUCAUGAGGCUUUGGAAGGUAGCGGGUGCAUUGGUGAGGCUAAAGGGCAUCACCUUGAUCUCAUACAGCCCUUGUUGUGUUUUAAAUGAAGUCUUAUGAACAUCUCUUUCAGUAACCCUUAUAUGAUGAUAACCUGCUCUAAGAUCAUUUUUCGAAAAAAACUUCGCUCCAUGAAGUUCAUCUAAUAGUUCAUCAAUAAGUGGCAUUGGGAAUUUGUCCUUGAUUGUUAAGGCAUUCAACUGCCUGUAAUCAACACAGAAUCUCCAAGUCCCAUCUUUCUUCUUGACAAGGAGUACAGGUGAGGCAAAAGGACUAUUGCUUGCUUGUAUAAUCCCAGAUUCCAGCAUUUCUUUAAUCAACUUUUCUAUCUCUGUCUUCUGAAUGAACGGACACCUGUAGGGUCUUAUUUUAAAAGGCCGGGCACCUUCUUUAAGAGGAAUGUGGUGGUCAUGUGAUCUUGGUGGAGGCAGCCCUUUUGGUUUCUUAAACACCCCCUAGAAUUGAUGGAUUACUUCCAGUAGUUUGCUAGGUACCACCUCUUUGGGUUUUUCCUCUUUAGGGGCAUAUAAUUGUCCCAUAACUCCAUAGUGAUUCUUGUCCAUUAUCCUUUCCAUCGCUUGUGCCUCUAUCAUGUCCACUGAUAAUUUUGAUACUUCAUCUCUGAACUUCACCUCAGUGUUCUGUCUCUUGAACUUCAUAACCCUCAGCAAAAUCAAAUUCAAUAGGGCCAAAUUGGUUCAUCCAAUUCACUCCCAAAACCAUGUCACUUCCUGCCAACUUAAGGGUCCUAAGCUUUUAUUGGAAUUCCCAACUUUGAAUCUUCCGUACCACUGGUUGACAAAUGGCUUUACUUUCUAGUUUAUCCCCAUUUGCUACCCUGACAGUUACUUUGUUGGACUCUUCAGUGUUGUAUUUCAACUCUCUAGCCAAUGUCUCAUCUAAAAAACUAUGAGUGCUCCCAUCGUCUAUUAAGGUGGAUAUUAUUUUUCCCCCGAUGUUUCCUAGUACCUUGAUGAACGAUUUCAACAAUACCACUGAAAAUAUCAGGUUACCAAAGCUUCCAGAACCAUUUGUCCCUUUUCUGUAUCUAUAGGCUCAGCCGGAAGUCGUAUUACCAAAAGAAAAUAAAGAAAACGUGUUUUAACAAAACAUAUUACAAUUUCAUUUAAUUUAAAACGGCACCGUAUGACUUUGAAUUCCAGUUGCUCUUAUUGGCUUCUUCUUUCCUCCUCCUGGUUCUGCUUCUUUUCCCUCCCCAAUUACUCUUCACGUGACAUUAAAAUUGACUCUAAUUCCAGACUUGGAUACUUAAUUAUAGCUUUAAAAGUUUAAUGUUAAUGGUUUAUUGUAUUUAGAACACAUAAGCACUCUAAUAAAUAUUUUAUGUUUGAAAAGGUGAUACUUGCGAAUUAGUUGAUGCAAUUUGUGUAAGCAAUUUGCAAACAUAGGAUUUGAAAGUUUUAGGUGUUUCUGGAAUGAAUUAAGCUAUUUGCAAAGUUGAAGAAAAUUUAUGGAUUUUUGGAGUUUAUUUUGUGCGCCUGCAGGUAAGGUUGUGCAACGGGUGUCAUGUUUCUUACAAGCAAACUAGUGGCUUUCAGUGUUCCUUAUGUCCAUACUUGCAAAUAUAUUGGGUUCAGUGUCAUGUUCCACAAGUGAAUUUGGGUAUCUUGGCUGAAACUUAUUCUGGAUUUGAAUUCCUUUCUAAGUUUUGUACCGUUCUGGUUCCCUGCACGCAUACAAGACAGCAACUGCUGAUGUUUACAUUUAGCUUUUGCAAUCACUAUUUUCUUGGGGUAUUAUGACUGAGGAAAUGUAUUUGUCAAUUUUUGAACCAAGAAUUGUUUCUCUUUGAUCCUCACAUAGACAUUCCCCUCUCAGGGAAACGAAGCUCUUUAGGAUUUAUUAUUUAUUAUGAAAUAUUACGUUGCACUUUUUCUGAUGUGUCUCCAUGUAGCUUCACAAAAUCACUACUCAAGUCAACCUUGUCAAGUUGGAAAUGAAUGCAUGACGUGUCUGUUGUUGCCUUGUAGGUCCUCAGAUCCGAUAUUGUAGUGGUAAACUUUUCUUAGUCAGGUAAUCUUAUUUCCUAUGAAGCGAACCCAAAAGCAUCCGUUCUGAUUGAAGGCACAUUAUCACCUUUGUAUUUGGUAUACAGCUCUUUGAAAAAGUUGAAGUGUGUAACUGAAAAGAUAACUUUAGAGGAGAAUUUUAUGCUGUCGAGUUGAAGUAUAAGGCACCUGCUAAAAUGAUCCUGAUCUUCUAUCCAUAGAGCAUCUGUUACGAGAUAAAGAGCAUCAAAAGGUAGUCCAAUCCCUCCACAUUAUCUGCAUGUUAUCUUUCUAUCUUAUAGAAUCAAUAUGUUCAGGUAGUGGAUGCAUUUAGAGUAAAGAAGCAAAAGCAAUACCGUGAUGAGUAUAUUUUCUUCUCGCUAAUAAUUCAUAAAAUCUGCAACUCUCAGCCAAAAACAUUGUUGCUUGCUUGACAUAUAGAAGAAAAUUUUAGUUUAUAUCUGAGCUCAACUGAAUAUGGUCUUUUUGCGCAUCAUGGAGUAUUGGUGUUGUGAUCACGACAUAUCAAACUAAGCUAGUGUGUAGAGUCUAGAGAAAAAUCUAGUAGAGUGAUCUUUUGCACUUUUAUCCCUUUUGCAGUCUUAUCAAUUCAUCGGGAUAUACCACAUACAUGUUUCUUAAGCUCAUACAGGACAAAUCCUUCACUCAAGCCUACUACUAUCACUAGAUUCCCAGACUGCUAUACGUGUUUAAUAAUAUGAAAUUAUAUCUUAUUGAAAUCCUUUCUACUUACUGCACUCCAACGAAACUUACCUAGACACUCUACGUUAUCUCUUUCUUUCUUUCUUUCUUUUUUUUUUUUUUUUUAUAUAAUCAAUAAAAUUCGUUUGCAAAUCAUGUUUCUUUUGUGUGUAAUUUUUCUUGAAUCUCGUGACUGGGGUUCAUAUAAAUAUAAGUUCAUGUUUUUAUAUAAAAGUAUUUACUAGGUUCACUUUUUAGGCAUGAAGAUGGUAAUGCAACUUUGAGGAAAGUCUGCUCUGUAGGAUUUUGUUUGGUCCAGCUAUUUACUUUAGAAGCUUGGUUUAGUUACUUCUAAAGCUUUUGAGAUGUAUGUAUGUUUAUAUAUUAAGGAUAAAGAUGAAGAGAUGUUGCUUCCUCUUUUGUGAAUUGCUUUCUCUUUUCUUCUAUUUAUAUUCUUAUUAUGCAAGUGUUGUUAUAGUAGCUCUUAUUGUGCUGCUUUUGUAUUUUUGAAUUUUUUUAUUCAUUUGACUCAAGCACGACCCCUAAAAUUCUUUCACAUGACAUGCACGACCCCUAAAAUUCUUUCACAUGACAUACUUCAUCAACUCUGCCUCCCUCUCAUUCCUCUGCUUAACAUCCACCAUCAUCGAUUUAGUGAUCCCUCUCCAUUCUUCUCUCAACUUCUUCAUCCUCCUCUCCUCAUGUCCCCAUAUUCAUUUCCACAUACAUCGUUGCUUCAAUACUCAUAGAUGCAAUCAUCUCCUCCAGUGUUUCAUUUGUUUAUACAAGUCCAUAGCCUCGCACCGUCCAAAGGAUCUCAUUUUUCCCUUAAAAUCAAGGGAAUGCAUGUACUUUGACUACAUCUUCAAAUGUGUGUGAUUGAUUGCCCAUUUUAGCAAUUUUAUCCUCAAAUUUUAGAAGAUCAUCCAUUGUAGAGCGCUCUUUUAGAUUUUAAUGAUAUAGGCAUAAUGAGAGAUUGAAUUUUCAAUGGAUGGUCUUAUAAGAUUUGAGGAUAAAAUUGCUACAACGAGCAAUCAAUCUCACACAUAUGAAGAUUUAGUCAAAGUACAUGCAUUCCCUUGAAUUUAAGGGAAAAAUGCGACCCUUUGGGAUGGUGCGAGGCUAAGGACAUAUAUAGACAAAAUGAAACACUGAAGGAGAUGAUUGCAUCUAUGGGUAUUGAAACAACGGUGUAUGUGGAAAUGAAUCUGGGGGUAGGAGGAGAGAAGAAUGAAGGGGGAUCACUAAAUCGAUGAUGAUGGAUGUUAGGUAGAGGGAGGCAGAGCUGAUGAGGAGGCAGCUGGACACAUAAGUAUGCCGUGAAAUAAUUUUGGGAGUUGCGCUUUAGAAAUGAGUCAAAAUGAAUAAAAAAAAUUAUGAAAGCAGCACUAUAACAACAUUUGCAUAAGAAUAAUAGAAAAGAGAAAGCAAUACAUCUUUAUCCUUAAUGUAUAAACAUGUCAAAGACUUUGGAAAUAACUAAACCAAUCUUCUUAAGUUAAUAUUUGUGCUGCACAUUUUUUGACCAGCAAUCCCACGUCCAAAGAACAAUUUAGGCUCGGUAGGAAAAUUUGGCAUGAAGAUUAACUUACCAAGGCUUUGCAGUUAUUCUCAAAGCAUUCAAUUUAUCCAAGGGAUCAUAAUCUAGUAACAUCAUUUAUGCCUUUCCACGUGCAAUACUCUUUCAGGUGACUAUCUAGAAACUUGCAGAUAUGAGAUGACUGGUUUAGGAUACAAUUCUCUAAGCACCAUGAUGAACAGCUUACUGAGCACCCUUUUCAUGCAUAAUUUUGAGACAAAGGUGCACACAUAUUUUGAAAGCAAGGUAAAUACACCAGAUCACCACCAAGUUUGAAUCGCUUCUAUGUAAGCUAUAAGUCUAGACACAGCUGUAAUUUGAAUAGUAUUUUCAUCUUUAUUCACUUAUGUCUCUUUUCAUUGAACAUUUAGUUAGUUUUCAUCUCGAUGGAAGCAUAAUAUUUCAAGUCGACAAAUUUGCCACCUC